AGAUGAAACAGGAAGUGAUGUCACAGGAGACAACUCCACAGAACCAAUGCUGGCUCUGGUUCAGGUACCACGUUUAGAUUUGUGUGUUUGCCCAAAAUGAGUGUUCACUUAUUAAUGAUCAUUGGUUUGUGUGUCUGUGUGUGUGUGUGUGUGAUGGCAGUCGUCCCUCCAGCAGCAUGUAAACACUCUUCAAGUGUUUGUUGGAAACACAGUGAGACUGUCCUUCAUCAUCUUCAUCCCUGCUCUGCUGCUCACAGCCGCUUACAGAGUUUGGCGGUCUAAACAGAGAUCAGUGACUGACAGGAGGCUCGGCCAAUCAGAGGACAGCAGCUCAGUGUGAAACAGAGUUCAGCCCUCAUUUAACAGUCCACUCGAUCAAUCACUCUUUAUCAAUGUCCUGCUGCCAAAUCUUCCAAUCACAUGACCUGACAUCAGCCAGCAGGAUGGGCCUGCUGUAGUUCACAGUCUGUCCUCGGGGUGGCAGUGUUGGCUCAACCUGACCCAGCACUGCAGCACCUGGGUGUCAGGUUGACUGCAGAACAGCAGCUAGCCUCUAUGCUAAUCAUGAGAAGAGACAUUGAUCAGCUGUUAUAAACACGGUGUGAGGAUCCAAAGACCUCUGUCCUACGCCUGCUCCACCCAUCCACACUGACAGACCGGUGCAGCUCUGCAGGUUACCACCAGCGUGUUAUUAAAGUGCUCAUGCAUCUGUCCACCAUUUUGUUUGCUGGUCUUGCUUGUUAGCUUUAAAGUUUGUGCUGCAUGUCAGUGGAACUAUAAUUCUGACUUGAUGCUCAUUAAUGU
Molecule: long non-coding RNA, 804 nt
Organism: Parambassis ranga (Indian glassy fish)
Lineage: Eukaryota; Metazoa; Chordata; Actinopteri; Ambassidae
Source: Ensembl